RNAcentral lists this ribosomal RNA (492 nucleotides) under uncultured bacterium. Its description in RNAcentral is "partial 16S ribosomal RNA". It matches the Rfam family "Bacterial small subunit ribosomal RNA", at positions 29 to 507 of the family's 1533-position model. The record is from RNAcentral.
AGUGAACGCUGGCGGUAGGCCUAACACAUGCAAGUCGAACGGCAGCACAGUAAGAGCUUGCUCUUACGGGUGGCGAGUGGCGGACGGGUGAGGAAUACAUCGGAAUCUACUUUCUCGUGGGGGAUAACGUAGGGAAACUUACGCUAAUACCGCAUACGACCUACGGGUGAAAGCAGGUGAUCUUCGGACCUUGCGCGAUUGAAUGAGCCGAUGUCGGAUUAGCUAGUUGGCGGGGUAAAGGCCCACCAAGGCGACGAUCCGUAGCUGGUCUGAGAGGAUGAUCAGCCACACUGGAACUGAGACACGGUCCAGACUCCUACGGGAGGCAGCAGUGGGGAAUAUUGGACAAUGGGCGCAAGCCUGAUCCAGCCAUACCGCGUGGGUGAAGAAGGCCUUCGGGUUGUAAAGCCCUUUUGUUGGGAAAGAAAAGCAGCAGGUUAAUACCCCGCUGUUCUGACGGUACCCAAAGAAUAAGCACCGGCUAACUUCGUG